CCUAGUGUUCGGUACUGUGCCUUGCACGUGUUUAUACUCAGUAGCUUUUGAAUGAAAGACAGACUUACAUUGCAAAUACAACAGAUUUCCGUGUCUUAUUAGAAACUGCUUUUCUUGAAUUACUACAUGUAACUUUUAAAUGAAAGAUUGGUGAAUAUUUCCAGAUGUUGAAAUACAAAAACAGGUGGCUGAACUUAGAAACCACCAAGUGGCAGGUGACUUUGCCUGACAUCCGUGUUCACAGACCUCCACAGCCCCUGGUGAAAACCACUUCUUCAUAUCCCAUGUCCGUCUAAUUACAUGUGUUAUUUUUUGUCAUUUGCAGAGUCAAUGGUUGCAGGAAAGUUUGAAGAAAGUGAAUUACAUCAAAAUCUUGGUAUGAUCUCGUGAAACCUUGAGAGAAACUGAAUGAGGAAUGAAACUAUUGUUCCUGUUUCACACAGAAGAAAACUGAGGUUGGCACUCAUGAUGAGCCCCUGUUCUCAUUCUGCAAAUGGUGAAGCUCUCUAUCGUCCUGACCCCACAGUUCCUGUCCCAUGACCAGGGCCCGCUCACCAAGGAGCUGCAGCAGCACGUAAAGUCAGUGACAUGCCCAUGCGAGUACCUGAGGAAGGUGAGUGAGUGCAGACAGAUGGGGCCUGGUGCCCUUGAGCAGUUCCCAGGUCUCA
This is a long non-coding RNA of Homo sapiens (human), 668 nucleotides long. Ensembl annotates it as PDXDC2P-NPIPB14P readthrough, transcribed pseudogene. Its record names the gene PDXDC2P-NPIPB14P. The record is from Ensembl. Lineage: Eukaryota; Metazoa; Chordata; Mammalia; Primates; Hominidae.